ACGCUGGCGGCAGACCUAACACAUGCAAGUCGAGCGGUAGCACAAGAGAGCUUGCUCUCUAGGUGACAAGCGGCAGACGGGUGAGUAAUGUCUGGGAAACUACCUGAUGGUGGGGGAUAACUAGUGGAAACGGUAGCUAAUACCGCAUAAUGUCGCAAGACCAAAGUGGGGGACCUUCGGGCCUCACGCCAUCAGAUGUGCCCAGAUGGGAUUAGCUAAUAGGUGGGGUAAUGGCCCACCUAGGCGACGAUCCCUAGCUGGUCUGAGAGGAUGACCAGCCACACUGGAACUGAGACACGGUCCAGACUCCUACGGGAGGCAGCAGUGGGGAAUAUUGCACAAUGGGCGCAAGCCUGAUGCAGUCAUGCCGCGUGUGUGAAGAAGGCCUUCGGGUUGUAAAGCACUUUCAGCAAGGAGGAAGGGUAAUGUGUUAAUAAGACAUUACAUUGACGUUACUUGCAGAAGAAGCACCGGCUAACUCCGUGCCAGCAGCCGCGGUAAUACGGAGGGUGCAAGCGUUAAUCGGAAUUACUGGGCGUAAAGCGCACGUAGGUGGUUUGUUAAGUCAGAUGUGAAAUCCCUGCGCUUAACGUGGGAAUGGCAUUUGAGACUGGCAAGCUAGAGUCUUGUAGAGGGGGGUAGAAUUCCAGGUGUAGCGGUGAAAUGCGUAGAGAUCUGGAGGAAUACCAGUGGCGAAGGCGGCCCCCUGGACAAAGACUGACACUCAGGUGCGAAAGCGUGGGGAGCAAACAGGAUUAGAUACCCUGGUAGUCCAUGCUGUAAACGAUGUCAAUUUGGAGGUUGCACCCUCGAGGGGUAGCUUCCGUAGCUAACGCGUUAAAUCGACCGCCUGGGGAGUACGGCCGCAAGGUUAAAACUCAAAUGAAUUGACGGGGGCCCGCGCAAGCGGUGGAGCAUGUGGUUUAAUUCGAUGCAACCCGAAGAACCUUACCUACUCUUGACAUCCAGAGAACCUUCCAGAGAUGGAAGGAUGCCUUCGGGAGCUCUGAGACAGGUGCUGCAUGGCUGUCGUCAGCUCGUGUUGUGAAAUGUUGGGUUAAGUCCCGCAACGAGCGCAACCCUUAUCCUUUGUUGCCAGCGAUAAAGUCGGGAACUCAAAGGAGACUGCCAGUGAUAAACUGGAGGAAGGUGGGGAUGACGUCAAGUCAUCAUGGCCCUCACGAGUAGGGCUACACACGUGCUACAAUGGCGUAUACAAAGAGAAGCGACCUCGCGAGAGCAAGCGGACCUCACAAAGUACGUCGUAGUCCGGAUUGGAGUCUGCAACUCGACUCCAUGAAGUCGGAAUCGCUAGUAAUCGUAGAUCAGAAUGCUGCGGUGAAUACGUUCCCGGGCCUUGUACACACCGCCCGUCACACCAUGGGAGUGGGUUGCAAAAGAAGUAGGUAGCUUAACCUUCGGGAGGGCGCUUACCACUUUGUGAUUCAU
Molecule: ribosomal RNA, 1449 nt
Filed under: Serratia symbiotica
Lineage: Bacteria; Pseudomonadati; Pseudomonadota; Gammaproteobacteria; Enterobacterales; Yersiniaceae
Description: bacterial SSU rRNA
Rfam family: Bacterial small subunit ribosomal RNA
Source: RNAcentral